AGAGUUUGAUCCUGGCUCAGGACGAACGCUGGCGGCGUGCUUAACACAUGCAAGUCGAACGAGAGCGUAGAGAAAGCUUGCUUUUUCUACAAUCUAGUGGCAAACGGGUGAGUAACGCGUAAACAACCUGCCCUACGGAUGGGGACAACAGCUGGAAACGGCUGCUAAUACCGAAUACGUUCCGAAAGUCGCAUGACUAUCGGAAGAAAAGAUGGCCUCUAUUUAUAAGCUAUCGCCGGAGGAGGGGUUUGCGUCUGAUUAGCUAGUUGGAGGGGUAACGGCCCACCAAGGCGACGAUCAGUAGCCGGUCUGAGAGGAUGAACGGCCACAUUGGAACUGAGACACGGUCCAGACUCCUACGGGAGGCAGCAGUGGGGAAUCUUCCGCAAUGGGCGAAAGCCUGACGGAGCAACGCCGCGUGAGUGAAGACGGCCUUCGGGUUGUAAAGCUCUGUUAUACGGGACGAAUAAUCUUGUGGUUAAUACCCAUGAGAAGUGACGGUACCGUAAGAGAAAGCCACGGCUAACUACGUGCCAGCAGCCGCGGUAAUACGUAGGUGGCAAGCGUUGUCCGGAAUUAUUGGGCGUAAAGGGCGCGCAGGCGGCUUCUUAAGUCUGUCUUAAAAGUGCGGGGCUUAACCCCGUGAUGGGAUGGAAACUGGGAAGCUCAGAGUAUCGGAGAGGAAAGCGGAAUUCCUAGUGUAGCGGUGAAAUGCGUAGAUAUUAGGAGGAACACCAGUGGCGAAAGCGGCUUUCUGGACGAAAACUGACGCUGAGGCGCGAAAGCCAGGGGAGCGAACGGGAUUAGAUACCCCGGUAGUCCUGGCCGUAAACGAUGGGUACUAGGUGUAGGAGGUAUCGACCCCUUCUGUGCCGGAGUUAACGCAAUAAGUACCCCGCCUGGGGAGUACG
Molecule: ribosomal RNA, 911 nt
Filed under: metagenome
Description: bacterial SSU rRNA
Rfam family: Bacterial small subunit ribosomal RNA
Source: RNAcentral